This 476-nucleotide ribosomal RNA is filed under the name uncultured bacterium. RNAcentral's name for it is "bacterial SSU rRNA". It matches the Rfam family "Bacterial small subunit ribosomal RNA", at positions 30 to 497 of the family's 1533-position model. The record is from RNAcentral.
AUUGAACGCUGGCGGCAUGCCUUACACAUGCAAGUCGAACGGCAGCACGGGUGCUUGCACCUGGUGGCGAGUGGCGAACGGGUGAGUAAUACAUCGGAACGUACCUUAUCGUGGGGAUAACGCAGCGAAAGCUGUGCUAAUACCGCAUACGCCCUGAGGGGGAAAGCGGGGGAUCGAAAGACCUCGCGCGAUUAGAGCGGCCGAUGCCUGAUUAGCUUGUUGGUGGGUAAAGCCCACCAAGGCGACGAUCAGUAGCUGGUCUGAGAGGACGAUCAGCCACACUGGGACUGAGACACGGCCCAGACUCCUACGGGAGGCAGCAGUGGGGAAUUUUGGACAAUGGGCGCAAGCCUGAUCCAGCAAUGCCGCGUGCAGGAUGAAGGCCUUCGGUUGUAACUAGCUUUGUUACGGUAACGAAACGGUAGAGCUCUAAUACAGUUUGUCUAAUGACGGUACCGUAAGAAUAAGACACCGGC